CAAUAGCGUAUAUUAAAGUUGUUGCAGUUAAAAAGCUCGUAGUUGGAUUUCUGGUGGGAGCGACCGGUCGGCGCUUAACGGCGUGUGCACUGGAGUUGUCUCUUGCCAUCCUUGAGGAGAACGUGUCUGGCAUUAAGUUGUCGGGCUUGGGAUCCUCAUCGUUUACUGUGAAAAAAUUAGAGUGUUUAAAGCAGGCAUUUGCUGUGAAUACAUUAGCAUGGAAUAAUAAGAUAGGACUUUGGUGCUAUUUUGUUGGUUUGUGUACCAAGGUAAUGAUUAAUAGGGAUAGUUGGGGGUAUUCGUAUUCAAUUGUCAGAGGUGAAAUUCUUGGAUUUAUGGAAGACGAACAACUGCGAAAGCAUUUACCAAGGAUGUUUUCAUUAA
This 384-nucleotide ribosomal RNA is filed under the name uncultured eukaryote. RNAcentral's name for it is "partial 18S ribosomal RNA". It matches the Rfam family "Eukaryotic small subunit ribosomal RNA", at positions 592 to 976 of the family's 1831-position model. The record is from RNAcentral.